This is a long non-coding RNA of Pomacea canaliculata, 360 nucleotides long. RefSeq lists it as uncharacterized. Lineage: Eukaryota; Metazoa; Mollusca; Gastropoda; Architaenioglossa; Ampullariidae. The record is from RefSeq and is a predicted model, not a curated record. The transcript is spliced from 3 exons.
GUCAUUGAUCUGAGUCCGCCUCGACAUGGACGAGUGGUGACCAUCACUAGACACAAUACAUUCAAAGGCGAUUACGCGCCAUUUUUAAACAUAUGCGAAGUCCAAAUAUGGGUGUGUAAGGUCGAUGGUGGGCAGUGACUGUCAAGCUCAGUGCAGUCAAACGUGUCAACACGCAGGUGAUGAUACCGGGGAAGAAAAUUACUGCGACUCAGACAAUGGUGAUUGUGUCAAAGGUUGCUCAGUCGGUCAUUACAACGUGUCUAACGACUGUCGAAACACCUGUGGUGAAGGAUGUCAGGACACAUGCAGCAGGACUGACGGGACAUGUCAGUGUCGGCCAGGAUGGCAGUCUCCUCUGUG